CUGAUCGGGUGUAGGCAAUCAGCAAUUAAGCCCAGGCAAAAAUUGAAUAGCCUUGCACUGCCACUGCAGGCAGAGUAGAGAUUGUGGAGGGAUAAACUCUACCAAUUUGAAACGAAAUCUUUCUAACAUUCUUCAUAGUGAGUCUUGGAGUUGGGACCAAAUCCUAAAUAAACCAGUGGAGCAGCUUUUACCUGUGAGCCAUUUACAGCAAGCAGAUGCAGAAUGCCCUACAGUUUGUUGUGAGAACACUACGCACCAACUGCUGGCUAUGAAUGCAUUCUCCAAGCUGACUCUGAAAUGGCAUAAUAAGAGCAACAGUUCUUUGCAGUCCAAGGCGGUCCAGGCACUGGGUGUUAGAUGGCUGAUCGAGGAGGAGGAGGAGGAGGAGGAGAAGGAGAAGGAGUUGCAGAUGCAGCCGGUUAUCCUGCAUAUCAAGCAUGGUCUCAGCAGCUGACUCUUCAGUUUUCUUCUCCAUCCACGAACACCGAGUGAAUAUAAAUGGAUCUGAACUUUAGCUGCCUUUCAACAUCACAUUCUGACAUAUUGCAGGACCUCCAAUGGCACCUCAUCCGCUAAAGAAACAGUGUAUAAACAAUGAAAUUAAAUCAAACUGCAAUGAAAAUAUGUGCAUGACAUAUGCAUGACAUAUGGGAGUGUUAUUAAAUAAAGCAUAUUGUCU
Molecule: long non-coding RNA, 679 nt
Filed under: Oreochromis niloticus (Nile tilapia)
Lineage: Eukaryota; Metazoa; Chordata; Actinopteri; Cichliformes; Cichlidae
Description: lncRNA (ENSONIG00000026237.2)
Source: RNAcentral